RNAcentral lists this long non-coding RNA (979 nucleotides) under Salmo salar (Atlantic salmon). RNAcentral describes it as "lncRNA (ENSSSAG00000113480.1)". Lineage: Eukaryota; Metazoa; Chordata; Actinopteri; Salmoniformes; Salmonidae. The record is from RNAcentral.
GAUGACAUACUGGCACGUUUGCAAGCAGAUGGCACAUCAAGUAACAGCUAAAAGCUGCACAGUUGAGAGCAUCCUGUCGGGCUGUAUCAUCGCAUGGUAUGGCAACUGCAAUGCCCGCAACCGCAGUGCUCUCCAGAGGGUGGUGUGGUCUGCCCAACAAAUCACCGGUGGCAAACUACCUGCCUUCUAGGACACCUACAGCACCCGAUGUCACAGGAAGGCCAAAAAGAUCUUCAAGGACAUCAACCACCUGAACCACGGCCUGUUCACUGUUAUCCAGAAGGAGAGGAGGAGUUGAAGGCGGAGCAUGCGUAUUACCGGCGGCAACACCCAGGUCUAUCUGUCUUCAGAGGGAUCUAGGAUGCAGACAGCAGAUGGUGGUGGAGGUGUUUGGGGUGGAGAGGACAGUGGAUUCAGUUGGAGGACAUCCCAGGCACUUGGCAGUGUUGGCACUGCUACUUCCUACCAGAUGGGAGGAGUUGAAGGUGGAGCAUGCCUUGUACCAGCGGCAGCACCCAGAGCUCCAAGCCAUGAUGGGUCGACUUCUUACAGUUCCUGCUACUAUGAAAACUGAGCGAGGUCAUCAUGUUCGCCCGCAAGGACAUCUUUGCCUCCUGCCAACCACCGGGGGCACCUUCAACACCUCCUCGCCUUGAGGACACACACUGUGGCUGCGUCUGUGUCUCAAUAGUCUAGUAGCUUUCUUUGACUGGCACUUUAGUGAGGACAAUACUAUUCUGGUUAACACUUGUCACCAGUAUGUACAGAGGCCCUCUAGAUCGAGAGUAUUGAUAAAAUACGAAUGCUUUUAUGGAUGUUUUUUAUUUUGUGAUAAUGUUUUUACUGUCUUUUGUUUGUAUGAGGUGCACUGAAACAAAUUCCAAUCAACUCUGUUGAUUUGGCAAUCGCAAGAGGUCCAGUUAUGUCAGUUAUUGUGAAUGAAAAUAAAAUGUAUUAUUUCAUGUCUUGUAUGUUUCCC